GCGGAUGAUUGAAUAGAAGAGAAAGCUACUCUGUGCUUAUAACACAGGGUUGUGUUUGUCCCUUCUUCUCUUCCAGCUGAAUGGUCACCAGGUCACGGAAUUCCACCGGGAAUGGGAAGAUCCUCUGGAGUAGCACGCAAAGUCCUGCUAUCUGCAUUCUGUGGUUGGAGUGAGUUGGGUCAGCCCACCAAUGUAUUUCCUCAUUAGACAUUGACAAACAUGGAAGAAAAACAGUGGAAGAAUUAGAAGAGAAUAUGGAAGCAGAAUGUGAUCUGGAGUCAUGUUUAGUGACCACAGCAGCACCAUCGUGGCUCACUGGUUUCAUACUCCUUGACUCGGUAUUCAGCUCCAAUUUUCGUUCUCUUUAAUUGAAAGAACUGCAUGGUUCACACAGACCUGGAAAUACAACCAUUAGAAUUAAAUUACCACGCAAGAGUGCCCUGAUGAGCUUCACAAAGACGUAGAACCCAUGUGCUUUUGGAGUUGUUUUAGCACCCCGUUUGGAGCCAAACAGUCUCACAACUCCCAUGAUGACAUCAGCUUUUUUUACACCUCUUAAAGUAACAACAUGAGUUUUGUCUUCCAAAGGGUAAUUUUGAUUUCUUACAAAGCUUUUGCAAAAUUAUGGAAUUUCUGAGUUCUAGAACCAUGUAGUCAUCAUUGAAGCAUGUAGAACACAACACUAGGAAAAAUGGAAAGGCUCCUUAUUGGAGGGAUGGGCUGAAGAACAAGGACGGUGUCAAGAUGGGCAUUUUUUCUGUGCAUAGCGAAUUGGGAGGCAAAGAAAACUGCUGAAAAAAAUUGACGAUGCACCUUAAGUUGAAAAGCUGACUUCCACCUCCUGGGCAACGUGGCUCGGGGUUGUGCUCAGCUAAGACAAAACUGAUGUCAACACCAGGAAUGAAGGACAAAUCUGUGGCUUAAUGAAGGCACUUCUCCUUCCUGCCAUCAUGUGAAGAAGGAUGUGUUUACUCCCUCUUCUGCUGUGAUUGUAAGUGUCCUGAGGCCACCCUUGCCAUGGGGAACUGUAAGCAUGACGCAUUAACCUAUACCAUGGCCUGGCUAGGACCCAACCCAGUACCAGAAAUGAAGGCACUGACCCUACAGUAUCCGCAGCCCCAGAAGAUGUGGCUUCCACGGACGACAUAAGCUCUGGAUGUUACCUAGGAGAUGCUGAAGAAGACAACUCAGGAGGCUGAAUGAAUGCUGCUCCAGACACAGACACCAUUCACUCCAGAUAAUUUGCUCCUUGCUAUGCUUUCUGUUGUUCGUUGCAACUCAUGUAGGAUAUCGAUCCUUUUUAUGCUUUUGCUUUGUCUGCAACCUGUACCUGCUAUACUCUAUUGGGCUCAUGUCUUAGAUCUGCUUUUCUUUCACCCUGUCACCUGGGCAGACACCCCCUGCCCAGCCUUUAAUAAUGUGACUCCUUGGCUAGAAGGGAUAGAUUUGCCCGCAGUGGGGUCCCUCAGUCAUGGCACACAUUAAGUUGCCAGAUAAUACUACAUUAUCAUCCCACUGUGUAAGCUAUAAAGGUUCUAAUCCUUAUUGUGUACCUGCCCAAACACAAUUAAGGCUAUAUUAUAGCUAUUAUAGCAAAAAAAAAAAA
Molecule: long non-coding RNA, 1606 nt
Organism: Macaca mulatta (Rhesus monkey)
Lineage: Eukaryota; Metazoa; Chordata; Mammalia; Primates; Cercopithecidae
Source: Ensembl